Molecule: ribosomal RNA, 511 nt
Filed under: uncultured bacterium
Lineage: Bacteria
Description: partial 16S ribosomal RNA
Rfam family: Bacterial small subunit ribosomal RNA
Source: RNAcentral
GACGAACGCUGGCGGCGUGCCUAAUACAUGCAAGUAGAACGCUGAAGGAGGAGCUUGCUCUUCUGGAUGAGUUGCGAACGGGUGAGUAACGCGUAGGUAACCUGCCUGGUAGCGGGGGAUAACUAUUGGAAACGAUAGCUAAUACCGCAUAACAGUAGAUGUUUCAUGACAUUUGCUUCAAAGGUGCCAUUGCAUCACUACCAGAUGGCCCUGCGUUGUAUUAGCUAGUUGGUGGGGUAACGGCUCACCAAGGCGACGAUACAUAGCCGACCUGAGAGAGUGAUCGGCCACACUGGGACUGAGACACGGCCCAGACUCCUACGGGAGGCAGCAGUAGGGAAUCUUCGGCAAUGGACGGAAGUCUGACCGAGCAACGCCGCGUGAGUGAAGAAGGUUUUCGGAUCGUAAAGCUCUGUUGUAAGAGAAGAACGAGUGUGAGAGUGGAAAGUUCACGCUGUGACGGUAUCUUACCAGAAAGGGACGGCUAACUACGUGCCAGCCGCCGCGGUAA